Molecule: non-coding RNA, 912 nt
Organism: Podarcis lilfordi (Lilford's wall lizard)
Lineage: Eukaryota; Metazoa; Chordata; Lepidosauria; Squamata; Lacertidae
Source: the annotation of a GenBank genome assembly
UCCUAGUAUGCUUGGCUGCUCCUUUCCGCUGUAUAGUAAACUUCAGAAGAGCAUGAUCACUCGCGCCUAAUGAUCCUUCCACUUCUACCCCACUAACCAGGUCAUCAACAUUGGUUAGGACCAGAUCUAAAAUGGCUGUUCCUCUUGUUGCUUCUCCCACUUUCUGGACAACGAAGUUGUCUGCAAGGCCAGUGAGGAAUCUGUUUGACCUUAUGCUCUUGGCUGAGUUUGACAUCCAACAAAUAUCCGGGUAAUUGAAGUCCCCCAUUACUACUACAUUCCUUUUGCAUGCUUGGCCAUCUGUUCCAGGAGGCAUCAUCUAUGUCCUCCGUUUGGCUUGGGGAUCUAUAGUAAACUCCCACAAUGAGGUCACUGUUAUUCUUCUCUCCCUUAAUUUUGACCCAAAUGCUCUCACUUUGGCUUUGAGGUUCUAAAUCUUGGAUCUCUUCACAGGUAUACACAUCCCUGACAUAUAACGCCACUCCUCCUCCUUUCUUGUCUGGUCUGUUUCUCUGAAAUAGAUUGUAUCCCUCCAUUAUUACAUUCCAAUCGUGGGACUUAUCCCACCAGGUUUCAGUGAUGCCUAUUAUGUCAUAUUUAGUUUGCUGUACCAAGAGCUCAAGCUCAUCUUGUUUAUUCCCAUGCUUUGCGCAUUAGUGUACAGACAUUGAAGUCCAUUAAUCAUUCACCCGUGUCUCUUAUUUAAGGAUUUUUUCCUCCCACCACUAGGUCUGCGUGCUGUUUGCUCCAUUUGGUCUAUGACAUUUGGAUGAUCAUCUUCAUCAAUUGAUAGACUCCUACCUUCAGGAGCACUGUCUCCCUCCCCCCACAUUAGUCAGUUUAAAGCCCUCCUGAUGAGGUUUCUGAGAUUUUUGGCAAAAACAUUCCUCCCAACCGUUGUGAGGUGCAGCC